RNAcentral lists this ribosomal RNA (2122 nucleotides) under Salmonella enterica subsp. enterica serovar Enteritidis. Its description in RNAcentral is "partial 23S ribosomal RNA". It matches the Rfam family "Bacterial large subunit ribosomal RNA", at positions 699 to 2802 of the family's 2925-position model. The record is from RNAcentral. Lineage: Bacteria; Pseudomonadati; Pseudomonadota; Gammaproteobacteria; Enterobacterales; Enterobacteriaceae.
GUUGCAGGGUAUAGACCCGAAACCCGGUGAUCUAGCCAUGGGCAGGUUGAAGGGUGGGUAACACUAACUGGAGGACCGAACCGACUAAUGUUGAAAAAUUAGCGGAUGACCUGUGGCUGGGGGUGAAAGGCCAAUCAAACCGGGAGAUAGCUGGUUCUCCCCGAAAGCUAUUUAGGUAGCGCCUCGUGAAUUCAUCUCCGGGGGUAGAGCACUGUUUCGGCUAGGGGGCCAUCCCGGCUUACCAACCCGAUGCAAACUGCGAAUACCGGAGAAUGUUAUCACGGGAGACACACGGCGGGUGCUAACGUCCGUCGUGAAGAGGGAAACAACCCAGACCGCCAGCUAAGGUCCCAAAGUCAUGGUUAAGUGGGAAACGAUGUGGGAAGGCCCAGACAGCCAGGAUGUUGGCUUAGAAGCAGCCAUCAUUUAAAGAAAGCGUAAUAGCUCACUGGUCGAGUCGGCCUGCGCGGAAGAUGUAACGGGGCUAAACCAUGCACCGAAGCUGCGGCAGCGACACUGUGUGUUGUUGGGUAGGGGAGCGUUCUGUAAGCCUGUGAAGGUGUGUCGUGAGGCAUGCUGGAGGUAUCAGAAGUGCGAAUGCUGACAUAAGUAACGAUAAAGCGGGUGAAAAGCCCGCUCGCCGGAAGACCAAGGGUUCCUGUCCAACGUUAAUCGGGGCAGGGUGAGUCGACCCCUAAGGCGAGGCCGAAAGGCGUAGUCGAUGGGAAACGGGUUAAUAUUCCCGUACUUGGUGUUACUGCGAAGGGGGGACGGAGAAGGCUAUGUUGGCCGGGCGACGGUUGUCCCGGUUUAAGCGUGUAGGUGUGUGUUCCAGGUAAAUCCGGUUCACUUUAACACUGAGGCGUGACGACGAGGCACUACGGUGCUGAAGCAACAAAUGCCCUGCUUCCAGGAAAAGCCUCUAAGCAUCAGGUAACAUCAAAUCGUACCCCAAACCGACACAGGUGGUCAGGUAGAGAAUACCAAGGCGCUUGAGAGAACUCGGGUGAAGGAACUAGGCAAAAUGGUGCCGUAACUUCGGGAGAAGGCACGCUGACACGUAGGUGAAGUGAUUUACUCAUGGAGCUGAAGUCAGUCGAAGAUACCAGCUGGCUGCAACUGUUUAUUAAAAACACAGCACUGUGCAAACACGAAAGUGGACGUAUACGGUGUGACGCCUGCCCGGUGCCGGAAGGUUAAUUGAUGGGGUCAGCGCAAGCGAAGCUCCUGAUCGAAGCCCCGGUAAACGGCGGCCGUAACUAUAACGGUCCUAAGGUAGCGAAAUUCCUUGUCGGGUAAGUUCCGACCUGCACGAAUGGCGUAAUGAUGGCCAGGCUGUCUCCACCCGAGACUCAGUGAAAUUGAACUCGCUGUGAAGAUGCAGUGUACCCGCGGCAAGACGGAAAGACCCCGUGAACCUUUACUAUAGCUUGACACUGAACAUUGAGCCUUGAUGUGUAGGAUAGGUGGGAGGCUUUGAAGUGUGGACGCCAGUCUGCAUGGAGCCGACCUUGAAAUACCACCCUUUAAUGUUUGAUGUUCUAACGUGGACCCGUUACCCGGGUUGCGGACAGUGUCUGGUGGGUAGUUUGACUGGGGCGGUCUCCUCCUAAAGAGUAACGGAGGAGCACGAAGGUUGGCUAAUCCUGGUCGGACAUCAGGAGGUUAGUGCAAUGGCAUAAGCCAGCUUGACUGCGAGCGUGACGGCGCGAGCAGGUGCGAAAGCAGGUCAUAGUGAUCCGGUGGUUCUGAAUGGAAGGGCCAUCGCUCAACGGAUAAAAGGUACUCCGGGGAUAACAGGCUGAUACCGCCCAAGAGUUCAUAUCGACGGCGGUGUUUGGCACCUCGAUGUCGGCUCAUCACAUCCUGGGGCUGAAGUAGGUCCCAAGGGUAUGGCUGUUCGCCAUUUAAAGUGGUACGCGAGCUGGGUUUAGAACGUCGUGAGACAGUUCGGUCCCUAUCUGCCGUGGGCGCUGGAGAACUGAGGGGGGCUGCUCCUAGUACGAGAGGACCGGAGUGGACGCAUCACUGGUGUUCGGGUUGUCAUGCCAAUGGCACUGCCCGGUAGCUAAAUGCGGAAGAGAUAAGUGCUGAAAGCAUCUAAGCACGAAACUUGCCCCGA